ACCCCAGACUCCUACGGGAGGCAGCAGUGGGGAAUAUUGCACAAUGGGGGAAACCCUGAUGCAGCGACGCCGCGUGAGUGAAGAAGUAUUUCGGUAUGUAAAGCUCUAUCAGCAGGGAAGAAAAUGACGGUACCUGACUAAGAAGCCCCGGCUAACUACGUGCCAGCAGCCGCGGUAAUACGUAGGGGGCAAGCGUUAUCCGGAUUUACUGGGUGUAAAGGGAGCGUAGACGGCAUGGCAAGUCAGAUGUGAAAGCCCGGGGCUCAACCCCGGGACUGCAUUUGAAACUGUCAGGCUGGAGUGCAGGAGAGGUAAGUGGAAUUCCUAGUGUAGCGGUGAAAUGCGUAGAUAUUAGGAGGAACACCAGUGGCGAAGGCGGCCUGCUGGGCUUUAACUGACGCUGAGGCUCGAAAGCGUGGGGAGCAAACAGGAUUAGAUACCCGAGUA
This 447-nucleotide ribosomal RNA is filed under the name uncultured bacterium. RNAcentral describes it as "bacterial SSU rRNA". It matches the Rfam family "Bacterial small subunit ribosomal RNA", at positions 328 to 792 of the family's 1533-position model. The record is from RNAcentral.